Molecule: ribosomal RNA, 485 nt
Filed under: uncultured bacterium
Lineage: Bacteria
Description: bacterial SSU rRNA
Rfam family: Bacterial small subunit ribosomal RNA
Source: RNAcentral
GGCUCAGGAUGAACGCUAGCGGCAGGCUUAACACAUGCAAGUCGAGGGGUAUAGUUCUUCGGAACUAGAGACCGGCGCACGGGUGCGUAACGCGUAUGCAAUCUACCUUUUACAGAGGGAUAGCCCAGAGAAAUUCGGAUUAAUGCCCCAUAUGCCCGUAGAAUCGCCUGAUUCAGCGGGGAAAGUUCCGACGGUAAAAGAUGAGCAUGCGUCCCAUUAGCUAGAUGGUAAGGUAACGGCUUACCAUGGCGACGAUGGGUAGGGGUCCUGAGAGGGAGAUCCCCCACACUGGUACUGAGACACGGACCAGACUCCUACGGGAGGCAGCAGUGAGGAAUAUUGGACAAUGGGCGCAAGCCUGAUCCAGCCAUGCCGCGUGCAGGAUGACGGUCCUAUGGAUUGUAAACUGCUUUUGUACAGGAAGAAACACUCCCUCGUGAGGGAGCUUGACGGUACUGUAAGAAUAAGGAUCGGCUAACUCCGUG